CCUACGGGAGGCAGCAGUGAGGAAUAUUGGUCAAUGGACGAGAGUCUGAACCAGCCAAGUAGCGUGAAGGAUGACUGCCCUAUGGGUUGUAAACUUCUUUUAUAAAGGAAUAAAACGAGGCACGUGUGCCUUUUUGCAUGUACUUUAUGAAUAAGGAUCGGCUAACUCCGUGCCAGCAGCCGCGGUAAUACGGAGGAUCCGAGCGUUAUCCGGAUUUAUUGGGUUUAAAGGGAGCGUAGAUGGGUUGUUAAGUCAGUUGUGAAAGUUUGCGGCUCAACCGUAAAAUUGCAAUUGAUACUGGCAGUCGUGAGUACAGUUGAGGUAGGCGGAAUUCGUGGUGUAGCGGUGAAAUGCUUAGAUAUCACGAAGAACCCCGAUUGCGAAGGCAGCUUACUAAACUAUGACUGACAUUGAUGCUCGAAAGUGUGGGUAUCAAACAGGAUUAGAUACCCUGGUAGUC
Molecule: ribosomal RNA, 460 nt
Filed under: uncultured bacterium
Lineage: Bacteria
Description: partial 16S ribosomal RNA
Rfam family: Bacterial small subunit ribosomal RNA
Source: RNAcentral